Molecule: ribosomal RNA, 467 nt
Filed under: uncultured bacterium
Lineage: Bacteria
Description: partial 16S ribosomal RNA
Rfam family: Bacterial small subunit ribosomal RNA
Source: RNAcentral
GACGAACGCUGGCGGCGUGCUUAACACAUGCAAGUCGAACGGAAAGGCCCUGCUUUUGUGGGGUGCUCGAGUGGCGAACGGGUGAGUAACACGUGAGUAACCUGCCCUUGACUUUGGGAUAACUUCAGGAAACUGGGGCUAAUACCGGAUAGGAGCUCCUGCUGCAGGGUGGGGGUUGGAAAGUUUCGGCGGUUGGGGAUGGACUCGCGGCUUAUCAGCUUGUUGGUGGGGUAGUGGCUUACCAAGGCUUUGACGGGUAGCCGGCCUGGGAGGGUGACCGGCCACAUUGGGACUGAGAUACGGCCCAGACUCCUACGGGAGGCAGCAGUGGGGAAUAUUGCACACUGGGCGGAAGCCUGAUGCAGCAACGCCGCGUGCGGGAUGACGGCCUUCGGGUUGUAAACCGCUUUCGCCUGUGACGAAGCGUGAGUGACGGUAAUGGGUAAAGAAGCACCGGCUAACUACGU